Molecule: ribosomal RNA, 1437 nt
Filed under: uncultured organism
Description: 16S ribosomal RNA
Rfam family: Bacterial small subunit ribosomal RNA
Source: RNAcentral
AUGAACGCUAGCGACAGGCUUAACACAUGCAAGUCGAGGGGCAGCACAGGUAGCAAUACCGGGUGGCGACCGGCGCACGGGUGAGUAACGCGUAUGCAACUUGCCUAUCAGAGGGGGAUAACCCGGCGAAAGUCGGACUAAUACCGCAUGAAGCAGGGAUCCCGCAUGGGAAUAUUUGCUAAAGAUUCAUCGCUGAUAGAUAGGCAUGCGUUCCAUUAGGCAGUUGGCGGGGUAACGGCCCACCAAACCGACGAUGGAUAGGGGUUCUGAGAGGAAGGUCCCCACAUUGGUACUGAGACACGGACCAAACUCCUACGGGAGGCAGCAGUGAGGAAUAUUGGUCAAUGGCCGAGAGGCUGAACCAGCCAAGUCGCGUGAGGGAUGAAGGUUCUAUGGAUCGUAAACCUCUUUUAUAAGGGAAUAAAGUGCGGGACGUGUCCCGUUUUGUAUGUACCUUAUGAAUAAGGAUCGGCUAACUCCGUGCCAGCAGCCGCGGUAAUACGGAGGAUCCGAGCGUUAUCCGGAUUUAUUGGGUUUAAAGGGUGCGUAGGCGGCCUUUUAAGUCAGCGGUGAAAGUCUGUGGCUCAACCAUAGAAUUGCCGUUGAAACUGGGGGGCUUGAGUAUGUUUGAGGCAGGCGGAAUGCGUGGUGUAGCGGUGAAAUGCAUAGAUAUCACGCAGAACCCCGAUUGCGAAGGCAGCCUGCCAAGCCAUUACUGACGCUGAUGCACGAAAGCGUGGGGAUCAAACAGGAUUAGAUACCCUGGUAGUCCACGCAGUAAACGAUGAUCACUAGCUGUUUGCGAUACAUUGUAAGCGGCACAGCGAAAGCGUUAAGUGAUCCACCUGGGGAGUACGCCGGCAACGGUGAAACUCAAAGGAAUUGACGGGGGCCCGCACAAGCGGAGGAACAUGUGGUUUAAUUCGAUGAUACGCGAGGAACCUUACCCGGGUUUGAACGCAUUCGGACCGAGGUGGAAACACCUUUUCUAGCAAUAGCCGUUUGCGAGGUGCUGCAUGGUUGUCGUCAGCUCGUGCCGUGAGGUGUCGGCUUAAGUGCCAUAACGAGCGCAACCCUUGCCACUAGUUACUAACAGGUGAUGCUGAGGACUCUGGUGGGACUGCCAGCGUAAGCUGCGAGGAAGGCGGGGAUGACGUCAAAUCAGCACGGCCCUUACAUCCGGGGCGACACACGUGUUACAAUGGCGUGGACAAAGGGAGGCCACCUGGCGACAGGGAGCGAAUCCCCAAACCACGUCUCAGUUCGGAUCGGAGUCUGCAACCCGACUCCGUGAAGCUGGAUUCGCUAGUAAUCGCGCAUCAGCCAUGGCGCGGUGAAUACGUUCCCGGGCCUUGUACACACCGCCCGUCAAGCCAUGGGAGCCGGGGGUACCUGAAGUCCGUAACCGCGAGGAUCGGCCUAGGGUAAAACUGGUGA